UGGUCAAGUUAUUAAGGGUGCAGGGCGGAUGCCUUGGCACUAGGAGCCGAUGAAGGACGUGAUAAGCUGCGAUAAGCUUCGGGGAGUUGCACGUAAACUUUGAUCCGAAGAUUUCCGAAUGAGGAAACUCACUUAGAGUAAUGUCUAAGUAUCAUUAAGUGAAUACAUAGCUUAAUGAGGGGAACUCAGGGAACUGAAACAUCUAAGUACCUGAAGGAAGAGAAAGAAAUUCGAUUCCGUAAGUAGCGGCGAGCGAACGCGGAUUAGCCCAAACCAAUAAAGUUUUCUUUAUUGGGGUUGCGGACAUAUCAUAACGAAGAGGUAUCGUAAUUGAAGAGGUUUGGAAAGACCCACCACAGAAGGUAAUAGUCCUGUAUGUUAAACGAGAAGACUUCAGAUAUGAUCCAGAGUACCACGGGACACGUGAAACCCUGUGGGAAGCAGGAGGGACCACCCUCCAAGGCUAAAUACUACCUAGUGACCGAUAGCGUAUAGUACCGUGAGGGAAAGGUGAAAAGAACCCCGGGAGGGGAGUGAAAUAGAACCUGAAACCCUGCACUUACAAGCUGUGGAAGCACAUUUCUUGUGUGACCGCGUACUUUUUGUAGAACGGGCCAACGAGUUACGUUAAGUAGCAAGGUUAAGCACUUAAGGUGCGGAGCCGUAGCGAAAGCGAGUUUUAACUGAGCGUUCA
Molecule: ribosomal RNA, 694 nt
Filed under: Criibacterium bergeronii
Lineage: Bacteria; Bacillati; Bacillota; Clostridia; Peptostreptococcales; Filifactoraceae
Description: bacterial LSU rRNA
Rfam family: Bacterial large subunit ribosomal RNA
Source: RNAcentral